CUCGCACACACGACUCUCCUGCCCUCCACUCUCGAUCCCCUCCCAUCGCCGCCGCCCUCGGCUCUCGAUCCCCUCGAGUAAGCUGCGUCGCCGUGGUCUCUCGAUUCCCUCGAGAUCGUUGCGCCGCCAUCCCCUCGAGAUCCCCAGAUCUCACACCGCCACCGCCGGUGCCUCCUCCUCUGGCGACGCAGCGAACGAGAGCAGGGCCGCAGUACACGGGUGGCUGCCUCGUGCCCCCGAUGUCCAGGAGUACGUCUAAGAUCGUCAUGUGUUCUUCCCCAUCAAGUUCGCCUGUUGACUGGUUCGCGAAGGUUUCGGCAGAUCCGUUUUCGCCCUGGAUGUGAGUCGCAUACCGGCGACUUUGGCGGUCCGACCUCGUGCGCGUCGUCCUCACCAUCAACCCCAAGUCCCUCCUCCAGUGGACCAUUGAACUCCACAACCAAUUUCUUCGACGCUGUCAUGCAGGUUCGAGUCCAAACAGUGAGGAGAUUGAUUCAUGCGUGCUUGUUUCAGUCCAGAUCUCUAAAUAAAUGUUCCGAACGAGGAAGGUAUGGGAGAUUGGCAGUGUCAAGCAUAUGUUUCCUUACGUCUCCUUCUGUACUCCAGCUGGUACAACUUCCUGUACUUUCUCAUAUUUUUUUGGUUAAUUGUGAUAUGUAUUUAUUUCAGCUCACACCUCGGUUCCAGUAAGACUUCUGUUCUCUUAUUGCAUAUUAGGGUUGUAGUUUUUGAUACUACUCCUACAGGGAAUACUUUAGGGUUGCUGCAGUUCCGAUCAACACUUGAGAAGAAAAAUGAUGCGAGUAAAGAAUAGCUUCAGUGGUCUAUUGAAUCAGGUGUUCCUUAAUCUUGAUAAAUUCCAAUCUAUUGGGAAGCUACGAUUGUUUUCAUGUGUAUGCCCACCGCCGUGUUGCUUUUAUUCUGAUUUUAACUCUGAAGAACUAACAUAUUAUGCAUCUGUUCAUUCCAACAUGACAAUACACUGUAUAAUUUACGAAAGAAGAUGGGCAUGAUAGUCUGUUCUUGGUUCCUUAGAACAUGGCCUACCAAUAUGUUGAGGAAUUAACUGCAUCCUGAAUAAAAGAUGAUUCCUUAAUUGUUUGAUUUGUUGAGUCUUACAUAUAAAUAGAUACUGUGAUCCAUGGAAUUCUUCCAUUGUUUGUAUUGAAGUUAAAUGACAAUAUGCUCUUCAUAUAUACUUUCAAUAUAGUAGAAUAUUCAUUUGGGAUAAACUGACUUGUUCUAUUUGAAAGUGCUGCACCGGCACUAAUAAACAAAUCCAAUCUCAUGUCAUCUAUUUAUUCUGACAAUGGUGCCAUGUAGACUAGGAAUUAGAAAAAAAAACAAGUACUAGGAUACAUUGCAAACUAUGGAACGAAAGAAACCUACCUGAAAAGGCCUCAGCAGUUCUACUUAUGAGCCGGAUAAUGCAGCAUUAUAGGAUGAUCCAUUCAUAUGCAUACAAAGGCUUCAAUUUUGAUUUACAUUCAAUUUCGUCCGAAUAUUGAUUUUUCUUUAGUUUAGAUCAGCUAUGAUUUAGGUACUACAGUUGUAUAGGAUGAUCCACUGCCAUUCAUACAGAGGUUCCAGUCUUGAUUAUGUUUCGGUUGAAUUCAGUUUUUCGAGUCAGCCCAUCUCAGCUCUAUGUGUGACAUUCAUAAGAUGACCCCAUAAAAUUAGCAAAAGACGUGUUUUGGCCGGUGCAGGCUGGAGGACCCUGACUUGGAGGAGACGACAGAGUUCAUGGCGAGCAAGGCGGACUUGGCCGAGUCCAUGCUUUCCUGGUUAGGGAGAGCCUCCAACACAAGGUCAUGUGUUGCUUCUCUCCUCUAUUUGGAUUUUAUUAAUUGGUGUCUUUUUUACUGAUUCCUUCGCUAUUGCUGUGCGCUCCUAGGUUUAGUCCAUGUCUCUCUAGAUUACUUCUAUUUCGUACGGAUGGUCUUGAGUUUGCACAAUUCCAGGAUGUCAGCUCGCCGCACAUGUGAUACUUAUUGUUAAUAGUUAUAGAAUUCCCUGGGUGUUCUUUGUUAUUUUUGUGCACAGAAGUUGUUUGUGUCUUCGUCCGAGCCAAUUUCAGUUACAAAUCCCCGAGUUAAGCUACAUGUGGCUAACAACAUUGCAUAUGAAGCUCUCGUCUUUGACUAUAAGUUUGACAUGUGGUAAGAGUUUUUCGGUGGUUGAUAUCCUGCACCUUAGACAUGUUUAUAGACUUAUAGAUAGAAUAUUCUUUCUUAUUUAUAGUGGAUCUGUUGUUGGUGCCUUACUACAAAGUACUGGUGUUUUGUGGCCACUACUAAUGAUAAUAGUAUUCUUUAUGCUAAGGUGCAGAUAAAAUAUUGAAGGGUGGAAGUCUGUUAAUCAUUCGAUUAGCCAAUUUUUGUUAUUUAGCAACCAGUUUGACUCAUACAAUUAAAGUCUGAUUGUUGUAGUAAAUAAUGUUGCUAAGAACUUCAAGGUACCGCGUUUUUCCAAUUGUUGCCACUUGGCAAAAAUUAUUGUUUUUAGAAGUAACAAGUAGUUUAAAAAUUGUGGUAGCCCGUAGCAACGCACGGGCGUUCUCCUCUUGAUUCUCCGUUGUGCGACGUCGCAACUUCUUCUCCAACUCUGCGGGUGUAGGUUGAUCGAGGGUCGAAUAAUGGACGUAACACAGCUGCUAGAGAAGAGAUUAUAAUAUGGAAAACAGCAGAUGAGGAGGAAGCUGAAGUUGGUACAUCAAGUGAGCAAGAGUUCCAGACCCAGGUUACACCAAGAACAAGUGCCUCAGAUCAUUCAUUUUUCAGGCAGCGGAAGGAUCACUCCCACUCCCCUCGCGUCGCCCACCUGAGGGCGACUCGAGGGUACCCUCGCCCCAUCCGCCGUGACCACCCCUCUAAGGAUCUCACCGCCUCGACCAAAAUGUGAUUUGAGGCAAAGUCUGCGUUUGAGGCAAGGACAAUAAAAAUGAUGGAGCUUUUGGUCUUCAGCACCUUGAAAUGGAGGAUGCAAGCUGUUACUGCUUGCUCGUUUAUUGACUACUUCCUUUGCAAAUUCAAUGAUCAUGACACACCCUCCAUGCUCGCAUUCUCCUGCUCAACUGACCUCAUCCUGAGCACAGCUAAGUGAGCUGAUUUUUUGGUGUUCAGACAUUCAGAGAUUGCUGGAAGUGUUGCACUUCCUUCAUUUGGGGAGCACAAGACUUCAGUUGUCGAAAUGGCUACAACUAAUUGCAAGUAUAUAAACAAGGGAGCGUUCUAUGAUGUGACGUGAUAAGAAAGAUCCUGAUGAAGUGCUUCCUUUAUGGAAUGCCUAUCUGAAGUUUGGACUAAGAGACUUGCUAAAGAGAAAUAAGAUUCAAAGUAGAUGUUUUUAUUGUAGAUUAGGAUAUGUGUGUUCCACCACCGGUUUGACUUCUCAUAUUAGAAGGCAAGCAGUUAGUUCAUAUCUUACUACUUUGCACUAUUGUAGAGGGAUAGUGAGGGAUUGAGAUGCUACUACUAUUUGUAUUGCUGUCGAUGCUUGCACAAUGCUACUGCUUAUUAUACUUGUGUAUUUAUCUUUGGAAUAAAAAACAAUCAU
Molecule: long non-coding RNA, 3555 nt
Organism: Triticum aestivum (bread wheat)
Lineage: Eukaryota; Viridiplantae; Streptophyta; Magnoliopsida; Poales; Poaceae
Exons: 7
Source: RefSeq, a predicted model, not a curated record